Molecule: ribosomal RNA, 478 nt
Filed under: uncultured bacterium
Lineage: Bacteria
Description: partial 16S ribosomal RNA
Rfam family: Bacterial small subunit ribosomal RNA
Source: RNAcentral
GACGAACGCUGGCGGCGUGCUUAACACAUGCAAGUCGAACGGUAAGGCCCUUCGGGGUACACGAGUGGCGAACGGGUGAGUAACACGUGGGUGAUCUGCCCUGCACUUCGGGAUAAGCCUGGGAAACUGGGUCUAAUACCGGAUAGGACUCCUGGCUUCAUGGUUGGGGGUGGAAAGCUUUUGCGGGGUGGGAUGGGCCCGCGGCCUAUCAGCUUGGUGGUGGGGUAAUGGCCUACCAAGGCGACGACGGGUAGCCGGCCUGAGAGGGUGACCGGUCACACUGGGCAUGGGAUACGGCACGGACUCGUACGGGAGGCAACAGUGGGGAAUAUUGCACAAUGGGCGCAAUCGUGAGGCAGCGACGCCGCGUGGGGGAUGACGGCCUUCGGGUUGUAAACCUCUUUCAGCUAUGACGAAGUGAAAGUGACGGUAGUAGCAGAAGAAGGACCGGCCAACUACGUGCCAGCCGCCGCAGUAA